Schistosoma rodhaini is the source of this 46-nucleotide non-coding RNA. NCBI's taxonomy places the organism in Eukaryota, Metazoa, Platyhelminthes, Trematoda, Strigeidida, Schistosomatidae. The record is from Rfam.
GGGUUGCUGAGGAGUCCCAUAAUAGGACGAAACAGCCGUCGAGUGC